Molecule: ribosomal RNA, 419 nt
Filed under: bacterium
Lineage: Bacteria
Description: partial 16S ribosomal RNA
Rfam family: Bacterial small subunit ribosomal RNA
Source: RNAcentral
UGGGGGAUAUUGCACAAUGGGCGCAAGCCUGAUGCAGCGACGCCGCGUGGGGGAUGAAGGCCUUCGGGUUGUAAACUUCUUUUGCUCUGAACAAGGCGCACUUUGGGGUGUGUUGAGUGUAGGGGUUGAUUAGCGCCGGCUAACUACGUGCUAGCAGCCGCGGUAAUACGUAGGGCGCGAGCGUUGUCCGGAAUUAUUGGGCGUAAAGGGCUUGUAGGUGGCUGGUUGCGUCUGUCGUGAAAGCUCAUGGCUUAACUGUGGGUUUGCGGUGGGUACGGGCUGGCUUGAGUGCAGUAGGGGAGGCUGGAAUUCCUGGUGUAGCGGUGGAAUGCGCAGAUAUCAGGAGGAAUACCGGUGGCGAAGGCGGGUCUCUGGGCUGUUACUGACACUGAGGAGCGAAAGCAUGGGGAGCGAACAGG